UAUGGAGUGUCCCCGAAAUGUGCCCAGUUCACUGUGUUAGUUGGGGGAUGCAGCAGUGGACGAGCUAUGCACCCUGCCUGCCUGCCUGUCUGCCCUCUGCAAUUCAGAGUCUCGGGAGGAAGGCAAAGCCUAUUCUAAUGAUGAGGCGCCAUGGGACAAUGAGGUUCAAUCCCUUGCUCCAGGUCAGGCUCUUGCCAGAUACUGAAUUACAUGCAGCCAGAGCUGGGCUGAAGUUGCAGAAAACACAUGUGGAAAAAAGCACCAUUUUGGAGAUGAGGAACCUGAGGCUUACAGAGGUAUGAGUUAAAUGAC
Artibeus jamaicensis (Jamaican fruit-eating bat) is the source of this 312-nucleotide long non-coding RNA. RefSeq lists it as uncharacterized. NCBI's taxonomy places the organism in Eukaryota, Metazoa, Chordata, Mammalia, Chiroptera, Phyllostomidae. The record is from RefSeq and is a predicted model, not a curated record. The transcript has 3 exons.